This 273-nucleotide ribosomal RNA is filed under the name uncultured bacterium. Its description in RNAcentral is "partial 16S ribosomal RNA". It matches the Rfam family "Bacterial small subunit ribosomal RNA", at positions 86 to 354 of the family's 1533-position model. The record is from RNAcentral.
UGCCGGCGACCGGCGCACGGGUGAGUAACACGUAUGCGACCUGACCCCCCGCAGGGGGAUAACCGGGAGAAAUCCCGACUAAUACCGCGUAACGCCGCGGACCUGCAUGGGUCUGCGGCCAAAGGAAGCGAUUCCGGCGGGGGAUGGGCAUGCGGCGCAUUAGCUAGUCGGCGGGGUAACGGCCCACCGAGGCGACGAUGCGUAGGGGUUCUGAGAGGAAGGUCCCCCACACUGGUACUGAGACACGGACCAGACUCCUACGGAAGGCAGCAG